This 398-nucleotide ribosomal RNA is filed under the name uncultured bacterium. RNAcentral's name for it is "bacterial SSU rRNA". It matches the Rfam family "Bacterial small subunit ribosomal RNA", at positions 521 to 916 of the family's 1533-position model. The record is from RNAcentral.
UAAUACGUAGGGGCCAAGCGUUAUCCGGAUUUACUGGGCGUAAAGCGCAUGUAGGCGGUCGAUCAAGUCGGAUGUGAAAGCUCCUGGCUUAACUGGGAGAGGUCAUUCGAAACUAGUCGGCUGGAGGGUGGUAGAGGAGAGCGGAAUUCCAGGUGUAGCGGUGAAAUGCGUAGAUAUCUGGAGGAACACCAGUGGCGAAAGCGGCUCUCUGGACCAUUCCUGACGCUGAGAUGCGAAAGCCAGGGGAGAGAACGGGAUUAGAAACCCCGGUAUUCCUGGCCGUAAACGAUGUCAACUAGGCGUAGGAGGUUAUAAACCCCUUCUGUGCUGUAGCAAACGCGUUAAGUUGACCGCCUGGGGACUACGGCCGCAAGGCUAAAACUUAAAGGAAUUGACGG